Molecule: non-coding RNA, 88 nt
Filed under: Corchorus olitorius
Lineage: Eukaryota; Viridiplantae; Streptophyta; Magnoliopsida; Malvales; Malvaceae
Source: RNAcentral
AUCUAUGGUGGCGCUGGUGGGGCCGACUUCGGUCGGGCCGGUUCCCUUUUGCGCCGGUUUUUCCACCCCCAUCAGCGUCACCGCCAUA